AAGGACUUUGAAAAGAGAGUCA
RNAcentral lists this small nuclear RNA (22 nucleotides) under Arabidopsis thaliana (thale cress). RNAcentral describes it as "snRNA_03698". Lineage: Eukaryota; Viridiplantae; Streptophyta; Magnoliopsida; Brassicales; Brassicaceae. The record is from RNAcentral.